UAGGCGAAACCUGAAAAGCCUUUAAACAGAGUAAGGA
Non-coding RNA from Flavobacteriales bacterium BRH_c54, 37 nucleotides. NCBI's taxonomy places the organism in Bacteria, Pseudomonadati, Bacteroidota, Flavobacteriia, Flavobacteriales. The record is from Rfam.